UACGUAGGAGGCAAGCGUUGUCCGGAAUUACUGGGUGUAAAGCGCGUGUAGGCGGCAGACUAAGUCUGUGGUGAAAUCGCUCGGCUCAACUGGGCAGGGUCCAUGGAAACUAGUCAGCUGGAGGACGGUAGAGGUGAGUGGAAUUCCCGGUGUAGCGGUGGAAUGCGUAGAGAUCGGGAAGAACAUCGGUGGCGAAGGCGGCCUGCUGGGCUCUUGCUGACACUGAGGCGCGACAGCGUGGGGAGCAAACAGG
Molecule: ribosomal RNA, 253 nt
Filed under: uncultured bacterium
Lineage: Bacteria
Description: partial 16S ribosomal RNA
Rfam family: Bacterial small subunit ribosomal RNA
Source: RNAcentral